Molecule: non-coding RNA, 120 nt
Organism: Sphingobacteriales bacterium 50-39
Lineage: Bacteria; Pseudomonadati; Bacteroidota; Sphingobacteriia; Sphingobacteriales
Source: Rfam
GGGAGUCGGCCUCCCGGUAUCGAUGUGCAGGCGUUGAUAUCAAACUACUUCUAUGCUGCUGCAGUUAAGUAGCCGUGGUGGGGAGCGAUAGGAGAAAAGGCAUCAUUAAAGAUGUCAGGU